RNAcentral lists this ribosomal RNA (494 nucleotides) under uncultured bacterium. RNAcentral describes it as "partial 16S ribosomal RNA". It matches the Rfam family "Bacterial small subunit ribosomal RNA", at positions 28 to 507 of the family's 1533-position model. The record is from RNAcentral.
GACGAACGCUGGCGGCGUGCUUAACACAUGCAAGUCGAACGGUGAAGCGCCUUCCUUUUUGGUGGGUGUGGAUGAGUGGCGAACGGGUGAGUAACACGUGAGUAACCUGCCCCCUUCUUCUGGAUAACCGCAUGAAAGUGUGGCUAAUACGGGAUAUUCUGGGUCUGUCGCAUGAUGGGUCUGGGAAAGAUAUUGUUUCGGUGGGGGAUGGGCUCGCGGCCUAUCAGCUUGUUGGUGGGGUGAUGGCCUACCAAGGCGGUGACGGGUAGCCGGCCUGGGAGGGUGGCCGAUCACACUGGGACUGAGACACGGCCCAGACUCCUACGGGAGGCAGCAGUGGGGAAUAUUGCACAAUGGGCGCAAGCCUGAUGCAGCGACGCCGCGUGAGGGAUGGAGGCCUUCGGGUUGUGAACCUCUUUCGCCAGUGAAGCAGGCCUGCCUCGUUUGUGGGUGGGUUGACGGUAGCUGGAUAAGAAGCGCCGGCUAACUACGUG